GGGUAUAUAGCUCAAGUGAUAGAGUGCACGCUUAGCAUGCCUGAGGUCCUGGGUUCAAUCCCCAGUACCUCCU
This 73-nucleotide transfer RNA is filed under the name Camelus bactrianus (Bactrian camel). It matches the Rfam family "tRNA". Rfam says of the family: Transfer RNA (tRNA) molecules are approximately 80 nucleotides in length. Their secondary structure includes four short double-helical elements and three loops (D, anti-codon, and T loops). Further hydrogen bonds mediate the characteristic L-shaped molecular structure. tRNAs have two regions of fundamental functional importance: the anti-codon, which is responsible for specific mRNA codon recognition, and the 3' end, to which the tRNAs corresponding amino acid is attached (by aminoacyl-tRNA synthetases). tRNAs cope with the degeneracy of the genetic code in two manners: having more than one tRNA (with a specific anti-codon) for a particular amino acid; and 'wobble' base-pairing, i.e. permitting non-standard base-pairing at the 3rd anti-codon position. The record is from Rfam by way of RNAcentral. Lineage: Eukaryota; Metazoa; Chordata; Mammalia; Artiodactyla; Camelidae. RNAcentral also lists the same sequence under 2 other names.